GACGAACGCUGGCGGCGUGCUUAACACAUGCAAGUCGAACGGAAAGGCCCUGCUUUUGUGGGGUGCUCGAGUGGCGAACGGGUGAGUAACACGUGAGUAACCUGCCCUUGACUUUGGGAUAACUUCAGGAAACUGGGGCUAAUACCGGAUAGUACCUCCUGCUGCAUGGUGGGGUUUGGAACUUUCGGGCGGUUGGGGAUGGACUCGCGGUUUAUCAGCUUGUUGGUGGGUUAGUGGCUUACCAAGGCUGGGACGGGUAGCCGGCCUGAGAGGGUGACCGGCCACAUUGGGACUGAGAUACGGCCCAGACUCCUACGGGAGGCAGCAGUGGGGAAUAUUGCACAAUGGGCGGAAGCCUGAUGCAGCAACGCCGCGUGCGGGAUGACGGCCUUCGGGUUGUAAACCGCUUUCACCAGGGACGAAGCGUGAGGGAAGGUAAUGUGUAAAGAAGCAACGGCUAACUACGUG
Molecule: ribosomal RNA, 468 nt
Filed under: uncultured bacterium
Lineage: Bacteria
Description: partial 16S ribosomal RNA
Rfam family: Bacterial small subunit ribosomal RNA
Source: RNAcentral